CUCCAAAUUCCCAUAAUAUGCAUUGUCAAAUGCAAAAGGGGUUUUCACAUCAAAUGGUGCAACAACAUCAUAAUUCCCUCCAAAUUGUGGGCAUGACAUUUUGAGGGCCUUCAGGAGUCUUGAGUCAAUAUUUGGGUCGGGUUGCUUGGUGCCUUUGUAGUUGUAUAUGCGACUGAGAAAAUGAUGACAGUGGGCAAAACCAAUGGUGUGUGCACCCGAGAGGAUGACUAGGUCUUCGAGUGUUAAGCCUUUGGAUUUAAAGAGCCAAAUAAGUUCAUCCAAUGUCGAAUUUGCUUGAGGAAGAUUUGAGUGGACUCUUGAUGCCAUGGAAAUUUUUCCAUCCCACCUUCCUUUUUUCACUUGAUAAUAUGGACCUCCGGCCUUUAAUAUAUGCAAAAUCACAAUAUCAAUAUAUACCCUAGUAAUUAGUGUUUUAAGAAUUGGACCAGACCGGUCCGUCGGACUAGUAACCCGGCAAACCAGUAUGCUGUCCGGUCCGGGUUGAAACAAUUGGUGCUGACAACAGUUGAAACCUAAUUUUUUUAAGACCUCGAAAGCACAAACAGAUUUGAAGGUACAUGGAUGACUGAUAAAUGACCAAAUUAGAGAAAAAAAUUAAUAUUUGUCUGGUUAUAUACUGGCCAAAAUUGUACAGCUGUUAUAUUUUUAAUUUAAUCACCCUGCAUUCGACAUCCUAAUCAAUAGUCUGUCACUAUCAACCAAAAUAACAGGAAAAUAUGUCUCACCAAAUGGACAAAAUCUCUGGCAGCAAUUGCAAGUAUAUCUGCGCAGGAUACAACUCCAGGGCACUUGCUCUCCACCAAUGAUUUGGCCUUCUUUAUGCUAUCAAAUGCCUCCACUGCUAGUUCCUUGUUAUCCUCUGCGUCCUUCUCUGAUAAUUCUUUGCUUCCCAUUCUUGUUUUAAUAAGUACUGAUGCAUCACAUCCCUUAAGCAAAACCAUUCAUAAAUAAUUACAAGACAGCUUAAACUUGUGCGGGUUGUAUUAGUUGUUUAAACUUCUAGACGAAGUGAUCCAACAAUUAAAUAUGGAGAUGGGGGAAUACCUCAACGAAGCAAUCAUGGAAGAAGAGGCGAAUGGUGGCUGGACCAGAUACCGGCGCUUCUCUGAAUUGCAGGGAGGUUACGGAUGCAACAAGCUGGUCGACCGGAGGGCAGGAUUUGGCGUAGUAAUCGACAGAGAGUUGUCGUGGCGGCCGGCCAGUGGUGUUGGCCGUGGACUUGGGGAAUGAGUGUAUAGCCAAUGUAACAAGGAAAAGGAAAAUGAGCACGAAAAUGAUAACAGGGAAUGAAUUGGAAGAGACAGACAUGGCAGUUUUUUUUUUUAGAGAGCAAUGUUCUAGGACAAAUUAGCAAAUAUUAUUGAAGUGAGUGUCACUGGGAGAAAAAAACCUGUCACGUUAAUGAGAGAAUCAAAUCCCGUGACCGUGAGGCCCAGAAGUUGUGAAAAAUUAAAUUUUCAGAGACACACACACACACACAAGCCCUCGUGAAAUGGAAGAAAACUGCAGGAAAAAGUAUAAUCCGUGUCAUAAAAGGAAUAAAACCAUGAAUGCAUUACUGCUCGACUUAUUUCCUCUAUUAGCACACAGUACUCAUUGGGCUAAACAGUAUAAUAAAACGACUAGAGAACUUCUUUUUCUUCUUCAAUAAUGUCUAGGAAUAUCAAACAUUCUAUCUUAAAAAAUAAGUUUACUGCAUUUUGCGUGGCUCUUUCUAAGAAAUUUAUUGGUGGACGGCGUAAACUUUACCCUUGUACAAUAUACCAUUUGCUCUUUUUGUUUGAUUAGAUAUUUAAAGUCUGAGGAUUUGUUGGUUUGAUAUCAGAUAAAAAAAUUGCUCCCUUUAAACGUAAUCCUAUAUUUCAUCAGUAAAAUAUGGUAAAAAAAUCACCACAAAGCUAAAAGUCUGAAAUAGGAGACCAGUUAAAAGAGAUUAGUCGCUAUAACGCACAUUAGUCGACGCCAAGGUUUAACGAUUGCUCCGUCGAAUAUGACUUUUAUCAUAUCGACAAAGCGACCAAUUGUGUAACAUUAUUUAAAUUUGCGUCACUAUAUAUGUCGACUAUGAACCCGUGCCCAUUUAUAUAUAAGGCCCAUAUAGUUAGACAGAACUGCCCACACUUUGGACCUAAAUUGACUCAAAUAGCACUUGGAUAGUCUAGUUUGGACAAAUGGUCCAAGAACCUACAAACUCAUCCAAAGAAUUAAAAAGUUCAGUUAAUUAAAGAAAUAAAGAAUAAUAACGAAAUUAAAAUCAAUCAUCCAUUAACAUUAUCAAACCCAAGAAAAAAUAAAGAAAAUAAAAACAGUUAUCACAGAUGCAUACUACAAUCUUUUCUUUUCUCUCCAUGUUUCCUUCCCCUCUUCACCCCAAUGGAUCCCAUUUUAUCCAUAGCAGCAGCAAAUAACUGGGAAAACUUCUUUUUAUCCUUUGCCAGAUUUUGAACCAAGGGCCUUGUUCUUGGGUCCAAAAACAGAGCUUGAUCAGAACCCAACAAGCCCAAUUUAGCCUCCAAAUUCCCAUAAUAUGCAUUGUCAAAUGCAAAAGGGGUUUUCACAUCAAAUGGUGCAACAACAUCAUAAUUCCCUCCAAAUUGUGGGCAUGACAUUUUGAGGGCCUUCAGGAGUCUUGAGUCAAUAUUUGGGUCGGGUUGCUUGGUGCCUUUGUAGUUGUAUAUGCGACUGAGAAAAUGAUGGCAGUGGGCAAAACCAAUGGUGUGUGCACCCGAGAGGACGACUAGGUCUUCGAGUGUUAAGCCUUUGGAUUUAAAGAGCCAAAUAAGUUCGUCCACUGUUGAAUUUGCUUGAGGAAGGUUGGAGUGGACUCUUGAUGCCAUGGAAAUUUUUCCAUCCCACCUUCCUUUUUUCACUUGAUAAUAUGGACCUCCAGCCUUUAAUAUAUACAAAAUCACAUUAUCAAUAUAUACCCUAGUAAUUAGUGUUAUAAGAAUUGGACCAGACCGGCCCGUCGGACUAGUAACCCGCCAAACCAGUAUGCCGUCCGGUCCCGGUUGAAACAAUUGGACUAGAUAGCUGACAACAGUUGAAACCUAAUUUUUUUAAGACCUCAAAAGCACAAACAGAUUUGAAGGUACAUGGAUGACUGAUAAAUGACCAAAUUAGAGAAAAAAAUUAAUAUUUGUCUGGUUAUAUACUGGCCAAAAUUUUACAGCUGUUAUAUUUCUAAUUUAGUCACCCUGCAUUCGACAUCCUAAUCAAUAGUCUGUCACUAUCAACCAAAUAACAGGAAAAUAUGUCUCACCAA
RNAcentral lists this long non-coding RNA (3286 nucleotides) under Olea europaea (common olive). Its description in RNAcentral is "long non-coding RNA (OEUR_LNC005034)". Lineage: Eukaryota; Viridiplantae; Streptophyta; Magnoliopsida; Lamiales; Oleaceae. The record is from RNAcentral.